RNAcentral lists this long non-coding RNA (916 nucleotides) under Nicotiana benthamiana. RNAcentral's name for it is "long non-coding RNA (NBEN_LNC026380)". The record is from RNAcentral. Lineage: Eukaryota; Viridiplantae; Streptophyta; Magnoliopsida; Solanales; Solanaceae.
CCAGACCAAAUAUCCCAGACCGCCUCUGGGACUCCAAUGUCACGUCUGCGGAAACCGCUUAUUCGGCUCCCUUUCCAAAGAUGUGGAAACAACAGAAGCAGCAGCCACAUCCCAUGCAAAACUCUCCAUUUUCUUCGAUUAACCACCCGAAUUCACCCCGAGGCCCCCGGGACCCCAACCAAAAGCACCAAUACUUCCAAACACCUCAUUCAAGCUUGCUUGAAUCCUCAAAACUUCAACCCUAACAUCAAAAUCCUCGUUUUUCAUCAAAUUAAAGCCUAAGCUCCGUUAAAACUUCCAAAACUCACUUUUGAUCAAAAACCUAACCAAAACACAUCCGAUUGACCUGAAAUUUUGCACUCACAUCCCAAAUGACAUGACGGUGUUACAGCAACUUCCAUAAUCCCCUUAUGACUCUUGGAUCAAAAUUCACUAUCAGGCCGGAAACUUCAAAAUUCUAACUUUCGGCAUUUCUAGCCUAAAUGAGCUACGAACAUCCAAAAUACAUUCCGAACACGCUGCUAAACCCAAAAUAACCUAACGGAGCUAACAGAACCAUAGGGUUUCCAUUUCGAGGUCAUCUUAAGAAUGUUUUGAUUACGGACCAUUUUCCAACACUUAUGUUGUCAUUUAGGGACUAAGCGUUCCAAAACACUCUGAAUUCUAUUACCGGACAUCCCGGCAAACCAAAAUAGCAGAAAUGAACUUAGGGGAAGCACUUAAUGGUGAAGCGGGGCAUAAACUCCAAAGACGACCGGCCAGGUCGUCACCAAAACUAUAGCAGAAUGAGUCAGGAAAUGAGCUCACGUGUUAAAGAAUAAAGAACAAGGGAUCAAACAAAUACAGGGAAUGAAACCAUUUGAACCAAAUAAAACAAAACAAUUAUGGGAAUACAUGAAUUUGAACAGCUCAAGAC